AACAAUUUGUUCCGGCUUGCGAAAAAGUUCCGGAUGAUGUAAUAAUCACGUUCCGAUCUCACAUUAAAAUGUUUCUCAUAGAAUGUUGGCGUCGUUGCUAUGACUGUUGCUGUCGCUGGACGAUCCAUUUACCCCUUUGUGACGUCUAUGCUUUGUGACCACCGAAUCCUACUGCGGUAAACGUGCGAAGGAGUCCUUCAGCAACAAGGGGUUGAUGGCUUGCUUGACGGCACGCUUUGCGUUACAGGAAUAGGCCUACCAACCUACGUUCAGUGUAAUACUUCUGCCGUUCAGGCACCGAUUUUAUAUUUGAACAUUUUCUCAUAGACAUUACAUAUAGGCUUUACAGUGGUUUGGUUGGUAGGUUUUAAACGUAUUUUUUUGUUUUACUACGGAAGAUCGACUCACUCAACUUGCUAACGUAACGUUACAUCUGGAUCUGGAUGCGGAGCAGCAGAACUACCACACCAGAAGCUCGUGGAUCAGCUCAGAAGGAGAGAGAGAAGAAUGAGUAAUCACAGCCUUGACCAUGAAGCAAGGACCAUGAAGGGAUGGCCAUCGAAAAGAAAUACCUGUAUAGGCAGUUACAGGCUACAGAAAGAAGAUGCCUGAGAAGAGGACUGGACUGAAACACCUGCACAACCAAGCCAGCUUGGAGGAGAGGAUAUGCAUUGAACCUGCUCACCAAUGCCAGCAAAAAGAGGAACCUCCUGGCCCAGACAUCAAUUGUGGUUUUAUUUUGUGAAAUAAAAAGACCACACAUUUGAGUAA
Long non-coding RNA from Alosa sapidissima (American shad), 771 nucleotides. RefSeq lists it as uncharacterized. The record is from RefSeq and is a predicted model, not a curated record. NCBI's taxonomy places the organism in Eukaryota, Metazoa, Chordata, Actinopteri, Clupeiformes, Clupeidae. The transcript has 2 exons.